CUCUUGUAGCCUGGGGACAUUUUUGUGGGAUUUCUGAACAUGGCACUGUUUGUUUAUCUGCUACUGAUGUGUGCUUCCAUCAAGGUGUUCUUCGUCUCAGCACAUUCACAUUGUGACGUCUCUUUGGACAGGUGUCCAUCAGAGAUUAGCUACUAUCUUCAGAACAAUGAAAAUUGUGAUUUUAUUCUCAGUUUUUGUAACCCUGCUGGAAACAAACACAUUUUGACAUUUA
Long non-coding RNA from Cyprinodon tularosa, 232 nucleotides. RefSeq lists it as uncharacterized. NCBI's taxonomy places the organism in Eukaryota, Metazoa, Chordata, Actinopteri, Cyprinodontiformes, Cyprinodontidae. The transcript is spliced from 3 exons. The record is from RefSeq and is a predicted model, not a curated record.